CUGAUGUGUAUUGGUGACUGCAUGUUGUACAAGGGGUGCAACGCAGUAAAUUUCAACAGAAGUCAUUUUGAAUGUGAAUUACUAAAUGUUUUUCCUGGUGACAUUAUAAUUGACAUGGAUAAUUCAAUUUAUACAGAUAUUGGUGGUUGGAUGAGGGUAAGUUGUUGUUAUUAAAGAUUCUUAUACUUUUCCAUUUUCAAUGUUUGCUCAAUUCUGAUUAUCAGACGUAAAUACUUAUCUGUUCGAACCAUUGAUAUUCUAUGGUAGUGUCGAUGCGCUGAUAAAAUGAAAAACAAUGAUGGUCGAGCGUGCAAUCCAAAAAAUAUCACAUUAAUCUACAGUUUGUUUCAAUAGUUGCUUUGUUGAUUUGUUGUUGUUUAACCAAACCUAUAACCAAAGUAAUCUGAUGAGUCUUUAAAGUUUUAGCCUGUUAAACUCAGUACUAACCUCGUUUGAGCGGACCAUUGUACAUAGUAACUCAAUUUACCUAAAGUAGUUAUAUCCCACAACCACUAUUUCGCUUCAUUGUGUCUUAAGGAAUGUAUUGCUCCUUUUUAUUUUAUAAAUUAUAAGAACACCAGAGAUUUUUAGGAAAUCUCUGGUUUUAUCCAUGCAUUGACAUGAAAAAAUAUUGCCCACUUAACCCCUUCUUUUCUUUCCAUAAUUUGUUAAACAUCAAAGUUUAAAGAAGCAGUAUACUCCAAAAAUCUUAUAUAUAAAAUUCUUAUUAUAUCAUAUCUUAUUUUGAAACAAAAACAGGGUUGGCAAUGUGAAUCUAUGAAAAACUCUAGAGGAGGAAUUAAGUUUCCCGCCCAAAUUUUCAUACGGCAUAAUAUCUCGAAACCAAAGGCAAACGGGACCCUCCAUUUUUCUGCUUUUUUUUAGUUUCGUCUUAUUUAUAACUUAUCAGUUUCAUAAGCAGUCUUUACAACAGCUUUUAUUUUUUUAAUUUGGAGUAGCGGAACACCUUACAACAUAUUAGUGCAUAUCGGAACUAACUACACAAAGGUUCCUGGUUCGAUUCCCGUUCUGGGAAAGAGAAAUUUCAGGGACUAAAUUUUCGGCUUCUCCCUUAACCACCAUUUGUGAGUAUGGGAACUUGAGGAAACCGAUGAUAGUCCGUCCGGAAGGGGACCCGAUAAAUGCUGACCCGUGUUAAGAGAGGAGCCAUAUUCACUUGCAGCGUUAAAGACACUCUUGUUGAUUUCGAAAAAGAGCAGGACUAAAUGCCCUACAAAGGCAGCACUGCACCACGCAAAAGUGGAAAGGAAAUUAUUAUAAUAAUUGCAAAACUUGUUUCCCAAUCCACUAUGAAUAUAUAUGUUUCAACUUAUGAUUUGAAAAUUCCUUUAGAAAAUGGCAAUUUCUCAUAUUUAGUUUGAUCCAAAUAAACUCAUCAUAGAGACCAGGGAUGCAAUUUUGUAUUAGCGUCAUACUUGCCAAUAUAUGUCUUAUUAAUCAAGUAUUAAUCAAUGGCUAUGCCAAUUUUGAAAUGUCUUCUGAUGUCAGUUAUGAUAAUAUAACAAAGGACAAUUCUAAGCUAAACAACCUCGCCUCAUAUUCAUAUCAGAACAAUGUAAGCGGUUGAUUAUAGUCUAUCUUCACGGGUCUUGAUUAUUUGAAGAAAUUGUGUAAGGUUGGAAAAAUCUAUAAUUGGUUGGGUUUAAUUUAUUCGCAACUGUUAGAGACCCGGGACGAGAAACAGCGUGACAUUGUUGUCCCAUUAUGUAAAAACACUUUUGUUGAAGACCGUAUUUUGACCUAUACAUUGAGUUUUUUUGUUCUAAUGUUCGGUUGUUGUCUUGUUUUUCAAUUGUAGUUUUUAAUCAAAAUAUAUGCAUCCAUAAAGGUAAUUAAGAUGAAGGUAAAAGGAUUGAAGAAUGUUACACUUUUUCGCCAUCUCAUGAGUACCAAAUAGAUACCAUUGUUUUUUAACAUCCUUAUGAUUUAUGUAACCUUUAUGCAGUUUCAAAACCAGUAUGAUAUAUUUCCGUUGAUACCAUGUUGAUACACCAAAACAACUUUAAAUGCAUUUAGACACACAGUCUUCAUCAAUUGAUAGUGGUAAAUGCAACAAGUCAAGCUUUUAAUGGUUCCGAAUGCAAGUUAAGUUGAAGAAUUCAACCCAAAGAUAUAGAAAUGUUGACCCACAAUUUGAAUUUCAACAAACUUUAAGGGGUAGUGGUUCACAAGGUAGUACCUUAUAGAAAGGCAUUUAUAAUAGAAGUACCAGUAUGUAGUUUCCUCGAUUAAUUUUUAAACGAAAUUUUGAUGUUUUCUGUGUUAUUUAACAAUUUAUUUUUGAAAAUAUUCAUGAAAAAGGUUAACAAUUAUAUGGUAAUUUUUAUAAAUCUACUGUUUGCAAAAGUAUGAAUUAUUCGAAAUACUAAGGAAUUUCUAACCUUAGCCGUAUUUGGAACAACUUUUUGGAAUUUUUAGUAAUCAAUGCUGUUCAACUUUGUACCUGUUUGACUUCCUAAUUAUUUAAAUCUGAGCGUCACUGAUGAGUCUUAUAUAGACGAUAUGCGCGUCUGGCGUAUUAAAAAGCCUGGUACCUUUGAUAACUAUUUACACUAAUCUUUACCUUGAUUUCUAAGUAUUCAUCUAAUACUAAUGCCUUGAAUAUUUUCAUACAAAAAGCAAUUUCGGACAGAUUUCUAAAUGUAUACACUAUUUUACAUAUUUAAAGGAUAAAGACGGAUGCACUAUAAACCCAUGUGAAGUGGGCCAAAAAUGUAUAUCUGCCAUGUACAAUCAGACAAUAUGCCUAACAUUUGGUA
RNAcentral lists this long non-coding RNA (2780 nucleotides) under Mytilus galloprovincialis (Mediterranean mussel). Lineage: Eukaryota; Metazoa; Mollusca; Bivalvia; Mytilida; Mytilidae. The record is from RNAcentral.